CCUCGGGCUGCUGGCUCCGGACGGCGAGCGCUUGCCAGAGGACCUAAACUCUGUUUGUCUAUACUGUCUGAGUACUAUAUAAUAGUUAAAACUUUCAACAACGGAUCUCUUGGUUCUGGCAUCGAUGAAGAACGCAGCGAAAUGCGAUAAGUAAUGUGAAUUGCAGAAUUCAGUGAAUCAUCGAAUCUUUGAUCGCACAUUGCGCCCCCUGGUAUUCCGGGGGGCAUGCCUGUCCGAGCGUCAUUACAACCCUCAAGCUCAGCUUGGUAUUGGGCCCCGCCGACCCGGCGGGCCCUAAAGUCAGUGGCGGUGCCGUCCGGCUCCGAGCGUAUAAUUCUUCUCGCUCUGGAGGUCCGUCGUGUGCUCGCCAGCAACCCCCAAUUUUUUUCAGGUUGACCUCGGAUCAGGUAGGGAUACACGCUGAACUUAAGCAUAUCAAUAAG
This 443-nucleotide ribosomal RNA is filed under the name uncultured fungus. RNAcentral describes it as "eukaryotic LSU rRNA". The stretch from base 90 to 243 matches the Rfam family "5.8S ribosomal RNA". Lineage: Eukaryota; Fungi. The record is from RNAcentral.